UCGUACGUGACCUGCGGAGGWCAUUA
RNAcentral lists this ribosomal RNA (26 nucleotides) under Melampsoridium betulinum. Its description in RNAcentral is "partial 18S ribosomal RNA". The record is from RNAcentral. Lineage: Eukaryota; Fungi; Basidiomycota; Pucciniomycetes; Pucciniales; Pucciniastraceae.